This is a long non-coding RNA of Bubalus bubalis (water buffalo), 633 nucleotides long. RefSeq lists it as uncharacterized. NCBI's taxonomy places the organism in Eukaryota, Metazoa, Chordata, Mammalia, Artiodactyla, Bovidae. The record is from RefSeq and is a predicted model, not a curated record. The transcript has 2 exons.
ACCCCACCCGGGCCAAAUUGCCACCCUGGGUGGGCGCGCUGCACCCUGCGACGUGUGGUUCUUCAAGGGGCUGGAGUGGGUGCUGCGAUCCCGCUUGCCCGGGCGCCCGGCAGCCAGCGGCCCCCUCCGUGGUCUGCAGAGUCCACGGGAAAACCCGUCAGCUCUUUAUUCAUCUUCCUGCGAAUACGUUUCGCUGCGGUCUGGCAGGAAUGAGGCUCACACGGCCUCAGAUCAGUGCUGCACGCCUGCCUUAGGGAAUAGUCUCUUUGGGGGCUUCCCUGGUGGCUCAGAUGGUCAAGAAUCUGCCUGCAAUGCAGGAGACCAGGCCUCUUCUUCAGGGAAAUUUCAAUACUGUAACAGCAAAAAUGAACUGAGCCUUUGACGGCAAAGUGCUGAGAGUUUUUACUUGCAUUCUCUCACGCACUCUUCUCAACUUGAAUAGGAAUGAGCCUGCACCAGCCCGCUGAAAGAUGGGAGACCACAUGGAGAGGAGCCCAGCUGCCCAGCAAGGGACAGGCCACACCAGUGGACAGCCAGCCACCUCCCACACCUGUUGGGGAAGUCAGACAGGAUGACACGAGCUGGUGCUUGACCCGUAGCCUUCUGAGCAGUAAUAAAUGCUUCCUAUUUUAA